AUUGAACGCUGGCGGCAGGCUUAACACAUGCAAGUCGAGCGGGGUGAUGGUGCUUGCACUAUCACUUAGCGGCGGACGGGUGAGUAAUGCUUAGGAAUCUGCCUAUUAGUGGGGGACAACAUCUCGAAAGGGAUGCUAAUACCGCAUACGUCCUACGGGAGAAAGCAGGGGAUCACUUGUGACCUUGCGCUAAUAGAUGAGCCUAAGUCGGAUUAGCUAGUUGGUGGGGUGAAGGCCUACCAAGGCGACGAUCUGUAGCGGGUCUGAGAGGGUGAUCGGGCCAACUGGGACGGAGACACGGCCCAGACUCCUACGGGAGGCAGCAGUGGGGAAUAUUGGACAAUGGGGGGAACCCUGAUCCAGCCAUGCCGAGUGUGUGAAGAAGGCCUUAUGGUUGUAAAGCACUUUAAGCGAGGAGGAGGCUCUUUUGGUUAAUACCCAAGAUGAGUGGACGUUACUCGCAGAAUAAGCACCGGCUAACUCUGUGCCAGCCGCCGCUGUAA
Molecule: ribosomal RNA, 503 nt
Filed under: uncultured bacterium
Lineage: Bacteria
Description: partial 16S ribosomal RNA
Rfam family: Bacterial small subunit ribosomal RNA
Source: RNAcentral